AAUCUUCCACAAUGGACGAAAGUCUGAUGGAGCAACGCCGCGUGAGCGAAGAAGGUUUUCGGAUCAUAAAGCUCUGUUGCGAGGGAAGAACAAGUACGGGAGUAACUGCCCGUACCUUGACGGUACCUCGUCAGAAAGCCACGGCUCACUACGUGCCGGCAGCCGCGGGAAUACGUAGGUGGCAAGCGUUGGCCGGAAUUAUUGGGCGUAAAGCGAGCGAAGGCGGUCCUUUAAAUCUGAUGUGAAACCCCACGGCUCAACCGUGGAGGGUCAUUGGAAACUGGAGGACUUGAGUACAGAAGAGGAAAGCGGAAUUCCACGUGUAGCGGUGAAAUGCGUAGAGAUGUGGAGGAACACCAGUGGCGAAGGCGGCUUUCUGGUCUGUAACUGACGCUGAGGCGCGAAAGCGUGGGGAGCAAACA
Molecule: ribosomal RNA, 422 nt
Filed under: uncultured bacterium
Lineage: Bacteria
Description: partial 16S ribosomal RNA
Rfam family: Bacterial small subunit ribosomal RNA
Source: RNAcentral